UAGGCUGCAACUCGCCUACACGAAGUUGGAAUUGCUAGUAAUCGCGGAUCAGAAUGCCGCGGUGAAUACGUUCCCGGGUCUUGUACACACCGCCCGUCACACCAUGGGAGUCGGAAAUGCCCGAAGUCUGUGACCCAACCUGAGAGGGAGGGAGCAGCCGAAGGCAGGUCUGAUGACUGGGGUGAAGUCGUAACAAGGUAUC
This 202-nucleotide ribosomal RNA is filed under the name uncultured bacterium. RNAcentral describes it as "partial 16S ribosomal RNA". It matches the Rfam family "Bacterial small subunit ribosomal RNA", at positions 1301 to 1500 of the family's 1533-position model. The record is from RNAcentral.